Long non-coding RNA from Octopus sinensis (East Asian common octopus), 111 nucleotides. RefSeq lists it as uncharacterized. Lineage: Eukaryota; Metazoa; Mollusca; Cephalopoda; Octopoda; Octopodidae. The transcript has 3 exons. The record is from RefSeq and is a predicted model, not a curated record.
AGGGCGCCGCAGCGUGCACGGAAGCCGCGGGCGCGAGCCCGGGUGAAGCCGACCGCGGGUGCAGAUCUUGGUGGUAGUAGCAAAUAUUCGAACAAGACCUUCGCAAGAUCG